Molecule: ribosomal RNA, 492 nt
Filed under: uncultured bacterium
Lineage: Bacteria
Description: bacterial SSU rRNA
Rfam family: Bacterial small subunit ribosomal RNA
Source: RNAcentral
GGCUCAGAUUGAACGCUGGCGGCAUGCCUUACACAUGCAAGUCGAACGGCAGCACGGGACUUCGGUCUGGUGGCGAGUGGCGAACGGGUGAGUAAUGUAUCGGAACGUACCUUUCAGUGGGGGAUAACGUAGCGAAAGUUACGCUAAUACCGCAUAUUCUGUGAGCAGGAAAGCAGGGGAUCGCAAGACCUUGCGCUGAUUGAGCGGCCGAUAUCAGAUUAGCUAGUUGGUGAGGUAAAGGCUCACCAAGGCGACGAUCUGUAGCGGGUCUGAGAGGAUGAUCCGCCACACUGGAACUGAGACACGGUCCAGACUCCUACGGGAGGCAGCAGUGGGGAAUUUUGGACAAUGGGGGCAACCCUGAUCCAGCCAUGCCGCGUGAGUGAAGAAGGCCUUCGGGUUGUAAAGCUCUUUCGGCCGGGAAGAAAUCGCAUGGGCUAAUACCCUGUGCGGAUGACGGUACCGGCAUAAGAAGCACCGGCUAACUACGUG